This 636-nucleotide ribosomal RNA is filed under the name Aspergillus niger. RNAcentral's name for it is "eukaryotic LSU rRNA". The stretch from base 207 to 360 matches the Rfam family "5.8S ribosomal RNA". The record is from RNAcentral. Lineage: Eukaryota; Fungi; Ascomycota; Eurotiomycetes; Eurotiales; Aspergillaceae.
GACCAGCGGAGGGAUCAUUACCGAGUGCGGGUCCUUUGGGCCCAACCUCCCAUCCGUGUCUAUUGUACCCUGUUGCUUCGGCGGGCCCGCCGCUUGUCGGCCGCCGGGGGGGCGCCUCUGCCCCCCGGGCCCGUGCCCGCCGGAGACCCCAACACGAACACUGUCUGAAAGCGUGCAGUCUGAGUUGAUUGAAUGCAAUCAGUUAAAACUUUCAACAAUGGAUCUCUUGGUUCCGGCAUCGAUGAAGAACGCAGCGAAAUGCGAUAACUAAUGUGAAUUGCAGAAUUCAGUGAAUCAUCGAGUCUUUGAACGCACAUUGCGCCCCCUGGUAUUCCGGGGGGCAUGCCUGUCCGAGCGUCAUUGCUGCCCUCAAGCCCGGCUUGUGUGUUGGGUCGCCGUCCCCCUCUCCGGGGGGACGGGCCCGAAAGGCAGCGGCGGCACCGCGUCCGAUCCUCGAGCGUAUGGGGCUUUGUCACAUGCUCUGUAGGAUUGGCCGGCGCCUGCCGACGUUUUCCAACCAUUCUUUCCAGGUUGACCUCGGAUCAGGUAGGGAUACCCGCUGAACUUAAGCAUAUCAAUAAGCGGAGGAAAAGAAACCAACCGGGAUUGCCUCAGUAACGGCGAGUGAAAGCGGCA